This 301-nucleotide ribosomal RNA is filed under the name uncultured bacterium. RNAcentral's name for it is "partial 16S ribosomal RNA". It matches the Rfam family "Bacterial small subunit ribosomal RNA", at positions 509 to 809 of the family's 1533-position model. The record is from RNAcentral.
CAGUCGCCACGGGAACACGUAGGUGGCAAGCGCUGUCCGGAAUUAUUGGGCGUAAAGGGCGUGUAGGCGGCCUGGGGCGUCCCAUGUGAAAGGCCACGGCUCAACCGUGGAGGAGCGUGGGAUACGCUCAGGCUAGAGGGUGGGAGAGGGUGGUGGAAUUCCCGGAGUAGAGGUGAAAUUCGUAGAUAUUCGGAAGAACACCAGUGGCGAAGGCGGCUUACUGGCUCAUUCUAGACGCUGAGGUGCGAAAGCGUGGGGAGCAAACAGGAUUAGAUACCCCUGUAGUCCCUGUCUCUUAUCC